This 90-nucleotide non-coding RNA is filed under the name Duganella sacchari. RNAcentral describes it as "Glycine sequence". It matches the Rfam family "Glycine riboswitch aptamer". From Rfam's summary of the family: This family represents the bacterial glycine riboswitch. Glycine riboswitches usually consist of two metabolite-binding aptamers domains with similar structures in tandem. The aptamers cooperatively bind glycine to regulate the expression of downstream genes. The record is from RNAcentral. Lineage: Bacteria; Pseudomonadati; Pseudomonadota; Betaproteobacteria; Burkholderiales; Oxalobacteraceae.
GAAUUCUGGUCGGGAGAGACCACCAUGGAUGGUGGCGCCGAAGGAGCAACCGCCCCGGAAACUCUCAGGCAAAAGGACCGACCAGACCAC